UCAGUCAAAUAUCACCGCUAUGACUUGGAAAAAUGGAUGCUACUUCGUCGAGCAAGCACGUUUCAUAAAUCAAUGAAUUCACUUUACGGGGUCUUUUUAGUGAAAAAUGUGAGUAGUUUUUUUUCUUAUCUGGAAUGCAACCAUUCAGCUGUCCACCCAUUUUCUGUCCUGCUUAUCCUGUGGCAUGGCACAUAUAAAGACAGACACGCAUUCACACCGUCGCUGGGGGGGAAACGGAACCCACACUGCCUGCAUGGACCCCAGGCCAAUGUACCACAACGCCAUGAGUGACUAUCUGGAAUGCAUUGACUGUAUUCCCAUUGGGUACUUUGAGAACACAUGACUCACUCUGCUGUUGUUCGAGAAGAUGGCCAGAGGAGAAAAGACCUCUCAGAUGCUCAGAUAUACAGCGGAAACUCAAAAGGCCUUGGAUCUGGACUGGGCUUAGCAUGAAGAUAACUGGAAGCUGGAGGGAGAGGGGCUGGGGGGCGUGGGGGUGGGGUCACCUCGCCCACUUGAAAGUCUUCCAGCUCCUGACAUAUAAAAGUGACUUUUGGAUAAACCUAAGGAGGAAAAUGGUCUGGUUGUGUUUCCUUGAAAAGAUUGUUUACCUCCCAGCUCGGAAAAGGCCAGACGACAGGAGCGAGCGUUGACGCCAUCUUGGUGGAAUGCGUGAGCCUGGAUGCUCUGACACACGAAAGCGCGCACCAUCUCACUGGAAUGACGUCUGGCAAAUCACGGCCAGGCCGUUUCACAACAUUUACUGGAAUCCG
Hippocampus comes (tiger tail seahorse) is the source of this 773-nucleotide long non-coding RNA. RefSeq lists it as uncharacterized. NCBI's taxonomy places the organism in Eukaryota, Metazoa, Chordata, Actinopteri, Syngnathiformes, Syngnathidae. The transcript has 3 exons. The record is from RefSeq and is a predicted model, not a curated record.